UGGGAUUUUUUCGCAGAUUUUCAAAUAAAACUCAGAGAUUCCUUGUAUGACUCUCUAAAUCUCUCUUUUGUGGUAUUUCUGGAUCCUUACCAAGGCAGUGAUGGUGUAUGCCUUCUCUCAAGAUAUGUGGUAUUUGUGGUAUAAGGCAUAGUGACAUUGCCUUCUCUCCCACCCUACUCUAAUAAGGCUUGAUAUCUGGAGCUCAUAGGUGGGAGACAGUUAAUACAUACUUACAAGACAUUUAUUGCAUAGUCAAGCCAUGGAUCCAGAGAAACAAAUCAAUAAGCCAAAUCAAGAUGUGCAUGUGUGGCGAAUGAAUGGUGUAUGGUCACGAUGGUAAUAACAAUGGUGAAAGUCUAAUUCUACUUUUGCUCUUUUGAGGGGAUACAUACCUUCCUUGCUUUUUGAAACUUUAUGAGGAGAAUGAUAUGCUCUUCUUUUUCUUUCCUCUCAGGUGGGUAUCUUGUAACCCUAAUUCUACUGUCGGACACUUGUCCAUUUUUACCUCUCGUCUUACUUUUUCUUUCUUUCGAGGUUCCGGGCACUUGCCCCUUUUUAUUUCCUCGUUUAUAUAUAUUUUUUUUCUUCUCUUUUCUUUCUCUUUUUUUUCAGAGCACUCAUCUCUUGAGAUAAUAUAGCAAGUGAUACUAACCAAAAUAUUUGGAGCAUUUAUUUCACAGGGAAUAACAGGGAUAGGAAAAUGUUUUUGACUAUUCUCUCCUGGAUUAGGAGUAGAAUAUUUUUGGGUGAUUCUAGAGAUGGAAAUGGAUGUAUAUAUGUGGAUGGUACUUCCAGAGUAGAAGUAGCAUGAGUGAACGUGCAAGUGAAUCUUGAUUUAACCACAUGACAAGCUCCUAAGGGUCUACACAGCUUGACCACACUCAAUGCUCAUAAGCAGUAAAUAGUAAAUGUGUGGCUCAAAGUCUAGCAAGCAUGUAUAUAUGGCUGUGGUAGGAAUUUAAACUCUCAUCAUACAGGAACUCAUCAUGCAAUAUUUUAAAGAUUUUUCAAGAUAAAAUUUUCCAGAAUUCUAGCAUCUCUAGGAACAGAUAAACAGCAGCUCAACCUUCCCAUAUCAUAUCCGUUAACUACUUAGAUUUCAGAUCAAGUUUUCAUCCCACAAGUUUAGAUCUAGAGCAAGCUUUAAAUUAUAACAGUUAUGUCUAAACUUGAAAGGGAACUUCAAAAUUGCAAAUUAGGCAGAGCAACUAUUCAUCAUAUCCAUGCUAGAGUUUUAUUAUUUAAGAUUCAGAUAGCCACUUUAUUUAUUUAUUAAACAUACUAAGCAAAAUAUAUAUAAGCACAAAAUCUUUAUUUGGUUUUUCAUAGUUUAUGUAUUUUAAUAUUCUAACAUAAUAUAAGUAUAAAGAUAGGUAGAAAUACUUAGCGACAAUAAUGGGGGUGCUCUCCCCCAAGCUGAAUUGUGACGUAAUUUCUCUUGAUGUAGCUAGCAGGUGGCAGUGGUGUAUUUGAAAGUCAGCAGUAUUCUGACAGCGAUUAGAAUGUCCUCCGUCUGCUAGUCUUCUUGAUUCUUAAAUUCUGUGGAGCUCAAAUAGACAACAAAGCUUGUGGAACUAAUUAAGUGUUAGCAUAAAUAUCUAGCCUUCAUCAUGUUGAGCUUCCUUAAUAAAUGUUAUUUAUUUAGCAGGAUCAUACACUUAUUAUUAUUAUAUAUAUAUAUUUUUAUUGUAAGAUGAAAACUUAUUUACUUUAUUUUUAUGCCACCACAGUGAAUGUACUUAUGGGUUUUAUGCCAUGAGCAUACUCACAUGGGGCUUACUAUUUUUUAACAUUUUUAUUUUCUUUUCAAGAUAGCAUGAACCUGAUUAACUAAGCAAAUUAUAAUUGAAUAAUUGAAAGGAAAGGGUAACUACCAAGUUUACCUCUUGGCAAGGCAUUCGGUAUUUUUAAGUCCUCUGAACGGGACUCUCUGUUUUCUCAGUCGUCCUGGGAUUCGCUAGGUGGCGUAGUCAGUGAUUCUGGCGGCGCCUCUCUUCGUGUAUAACUAUCUUCUCCCUCCACACCUGACUCGGUGCUACGGUCUCCUCAGGAUAGUUCUGUUCAAGCUAUAUGUCUUCAGUCCUUAUCACUUCUCCUUUGUAGUCUACCCAUCCGUUCUUGAUGAUUUGCCUCCUCUGGUUGCGGUUGCGUCGUCUUCUUGUCCUGACCUGUAACACCCGAAAUACUGAUUUUCAAUUUAUAGGAUUUAAUUUAAUUUAAAUAAGUAUUUUUGUGGGCAUUUGAAUCUAGCAAACAAAUAAUUUUGUGAAAAAAAUUAAAACUCAUCAUAAGUUCAGAAACAUGAUUUUGCAUUCAUGCUGAAGCAUAGUUAUUUUUGUACUGUUUGAUCUGGUUUUAUUUUAAUUGUAUUGCUUGCAAAACUCUAUUUGGAAAAGGCUUUGGAAAAUAAUAAAAAAAAAAGGAAAUACACAUCCCUCACCUCGGCCUGGGCCAAAAGCCGAGGCCCAGCAGUUUUCCCCGUCCCCUUGCGCGCGGCCCAACCGGCCCAGCUCCCUGCGCGCAGGCUUCCCCCUCCUCCUUGCCGCUGACAUGCGGGCCCCACUGGGCGGCGCUCGUCCCCCUCCUCUCGCCGUGAGCGAGUAGGACUCGGCCGGGAGAUUUCCACCGAACCGAAACCGUGGACUCCGGGAUUUGCUUGCCAAAACGUUUGCCCAGCGCCCUAUAAAGCUCCCAAGCAUCUCAGCGGGCUUCUUUUCCGUUAGACGCGCGUCCGAGGAACCCUAGCCGCCGUUUUCUUCAAGAACGCGAUCUCGCCGUGAGCUCGGAGCUCGCCACCCCUCUCUGCUCCUUCCCAGGCCGAGCAACAACCCCAGACGUGUUCGCGGUGAGCCCCUCGUUCGCCUGAGGUCAUCCUUUUGUUCUCUAGUGCACGGAAUCGCGCGAACCGCGGUCUCCGGCGAGUCCUGGGCGGCGCCCAUGGCGCACCGCCGCGGGAGGGCCUGCCCCGGCGGCCGGUCGGCCGGGCUCGGCCCUGAAAGGAAACCCCAACCGCCCGAUCGGAGAUCAAGGGCUCAGAAAGAAGCGUACCCUUUCGGCUGAAAUACUUCAUAAAGAGUCCCUGUAUAGUUUUACAAAUUACUCCGCGGUCCUUGGCGUGUUCUGCUAAAUACGUUUCUCCGUUUUAAACACGUAUUUUCGUCGGUUCAAGUGAAAAGGCGCAAUCAGAUAUUUACAGUUUUGCCAUUGGAAUUGAAUUGGUCAUAAAAUAUUCAUUUUAACUCCGUUUUUGUCCAUUCAAAUUUCGUUGGAUUCGUAUUUACGAGCUCUACAUGUUAGAAGUAAUAUUCCACUGUUUUGAAACUUUUAAAUUCUGCAGUAGCAUUUAAUUAAUUAAUUCUCUAUAGGAAAUCUUAGAAAAUUCAUAUCUUCCGCGUUUUAAUUCCGAUUUUCGUGAACUUUACGUUUAUGUGAUCUUAGCGCUGCGUAGAAUAUUUUGGUGAACCUUUAUAUUUGUUUUACCACUGUUUGGUGUAUUGUUCUAAUUAUAGUUUGUUUGCUUCGUGUAUGAUUGUCUACAUUGGAUUGCGCGUUGUUGUUUGAUGAUUGGGAUUAGACGGUGAGCCGUACGUUGGUGACCAAGCCCAAGCUUUUGAGGACCAGCAAGCUCAGGAGAGCUUUGAGCAAGGCAAGUAUAACUUGGGACCAUCCUUGUUACCUAUUCACUUAUAACUACAUAUAUAUAUCAUAUGCAUGCUAUCACCUUGUCGACCUUAGCAAAAUCAUAGAUGAUUGUUACCUGUAUUCCUUGCUACCUACUUGAUAUGCAUUUGGUAUAGAUGUGCUAGUGCUUGAUAUAAUCCAUGAUCUUGUAAGAUGAUUAAUAGCUAUGCAAUGAACAUAAAAGAAUGACAAAUAACUAUAUGAGAUCUUGUCUGUAAGUGAUCACCGGGACAACAGUGCAACCAUGAGGGCUAUAAUGGCUCUGGCUUUAGCUCAGUAUGAAGCACUUUUCUAGCUGGUUAGAGGUUACCCGAAAAGGCGGAGGGGCUGAACCGUUUUGGGUAUAGUGUGGCCUCUGUCUGUAUGAGUAUAGGCUGCGAGUCAUUGUGCCAUCGGAAGGGGGGCUCUAUAUCUGCGCGCAAAGGAAACCUUGCGGCCCUAACUUGUUAGACGAACUUUUGAAAGGCUUCAUAGUGAUCCCUGCCGACCUCCCUAGGAAGGGGGUUAAGAGAUUAGCUACCUCGGGCGAAAGGGUAAAUCAUGACUCAUGGGUAAAGAUGUACAACCUCUGCAGAGUGUUAAAACUAGUAUACUAGCCGUGCUCACGGUUAUGAGCGGCCUUGGGGGUUCUUGCUGCGACGACGAUGAGCUUAUUAAGUUGUUAUGUUCAUUUGAUUAUCGUUUAUGCUAUGAAUUAAUUAUGCUUACAUUUGAUCAUGGGAUUAAUGGACUAUUUAAGUUUCCUUGACAAUUGCUCAUUAAUUAUGAACAUGCUAUCCACCAUUAAAAGCUAAAUGCAGUCAAACCAGUGUCAGCUAUUUGAACCUCAUGAAUCCCUGGUUAUACUUGUUGAGUACGAUAUGUGCUCACUCUUGCAAUUUCCCAACACCUCAGGAUAUGAUAUUGAAGAUGACUGGAAUGAGGAUUACCGUAAUGAGUACUAGGUUUGGGGUCAACCAGUCAACAGUGUCCCUGUGUGGAGCUUCCGUCGAGAGCGUUGUUUACUUUAUGCUAUCAUUUUUGUAUGAGACUAUGUGAUGUUUUAUAUUCCGCUAUGUAAUAAACACUGCGAUGGUACAUUUGAGAUUUGUCUACUUAUGUGUGCGACUGUUUCUGGGGCACAUAUGAGUCUUUUAUGCAUCCUAUUUUGUUCUUAAAAUAUGGGUGUGACAUGACCUGCUUAGAGUCUUCAACUAUAUAGUUAUGGUCAGUAAAAUAGUUGCGUACCUUCUCAGAGGGGAAGUACAUGUGGACUUCUCCGGUUCCAAUGUAGAUGAUUGCUUUGAUAGUGUUGAGGAACGGUCUUCCAAGGAUGGUGGGUGGAUCAUAUUCGUAUUCUCCCAUGUCAAUGACCUGAAAAUCAUCUGGAGCUGAAUAUAUUGGUUGUAGGGGCAUGGUUCCAUGCAGGAGCUGAUAAGUGACUGCGGCCAUUAUGUUGUCGUUAGAUCCGGUGUCGUAGAGUGUCUUCUGAAAAGAGUAUCCAUUGAUUGCGCACUCGAUGCUUGGAACACCAGGGUCAUCCUUCUUGAUCAAGAAAGGUGACUUGAGUCGAUGAUGUUGACCUCUUCCGACAAGGAUCCAAUGUUUUAAGUCUUCUGGACAAGACUUUCCACCAUCUUCAUCCUUUAGGUGCAUCAUUUGAUUAGGUGUGGACCUUGACGUCUGCACCUCUUGAUACGGUGUCACCCAUGUUCUUCUUUGCCCAGCAGUUCGAAGUAUGGUGUUGGCAAUAUCCUGCUCAGUGUGUUUGUGCUCAUAGAUCCAGGUCCUUCACUUGGUGGAGUCUGGGAGUUGCAAAACUCCUCCAUGUUUUGCUUGAAGUGUACCUGUUCAUAGAGACAAGGCAGAGAUCAAGUGCAUGGGCUCUGUUGGUGGAAAACACCAACAUAACCAAAAGUGUAUUUGUUCUUUUCUAACCUUAAGCAUAGUGAGCAAGACAAAGUUGAUGGAUAAUAAGAUCAUGAGUGUAGUAUUUGAAACAUUCGUCAGAUCAGAUGGCUCAACCUAAUGGAAAGAUAAUCUAUCUAUAUUUAUGUUUUGUUUAUAUCUUCCAAAUAUUGAAUGUGCAACAUAUUAGCUUAUAUGUUUAAGAGCGUGGGAUCACGAAGGUAGUACUAAGAACAAAGAUUAAAGGACUAAACAUGUUGAAUAAAUUGAGUUGGUUAAUCUAGAGUUAUAAAUCAUACAUGUUUGUCUCUUUAUUUAUGUGAAUGCUAGAACCAAGGAGAAGCUUAUAAAAGCGAUAGUCAAGUACCUUAAGGUGUUACCUUACUUGAAGAGUGACGGUACAGUAUCACCUUGUGGAAGCUUUCCUUUCUUAGCGGUUGUGCAUCGUGUUUGUGACACCCUCCAUGAAUCAUCUCUUAUGAGCCACGUCUUUCUUGUGCAAAUUGUUAAACUUCAUGUGUCACUUUCUUCAUCUCCAAUGCGAGUUUAUCUCUGGACUUCCCAGGUUGAUAUUGAAAGUUUUCCUGCAGGGGUUAGUCCAUCAAAAUAUCCCAUAUCUACUAUAGCAUACUAUCGGCUUAAAAAUCAACCUAGACACCAUGUCUAAUUUGAUUUAGAAGGGCAUUUUAACCUAAGCACCAUGCUUAAUUUAAAAUCCCUUGGAAGUAAGAUCAUCAUUCCUAAACUAAGCACCAUGCUUAAUUAAGAGAUAAAUGAAACUAUUCCAAACCUAGACAUAUACUAAAGCAAAUAAAGGUAACAUGAGAGCAUUUAUAGAGAUCUACUUAAGUGGAGAUGAAGUAGUGUAAUUAGUAUUUAACAAAUUGAGCAUGUCUCAAAGGUAAGGACAACCAACGUAGCAACAUGGCCAAAGAUGUUUUUAUGUAAAGUACUCCCCCAAGCUUGAAUUUUACAAAAUUCAAGUUUGGAUGAAUUUAAUUCAAUGUUGUGUGAUGGUUGGUUGGACAUACCCUGUGCUUGUCAUUCAUCCGAUCUUCUUGCUCCAAUCCUGGAAAGGUUAGUGACAAGAAUACCCGAAGGAAUAUUUCUACAAUUAUCUUUAUAUGAUCAAUACACAAGGCAAUGUUGCAAAUAAUUAGAAGUUCAUGUUAUGAUCUGAUAAGUGUUUGUUUUAGGACACUAAGCUUGUCCUUGGGAAACCAUCAAGUUAUGUUGGUGAAGUGGUUUCCCCUCCAACACCUACCUAUAUCAAGAUCAACUCAACGAGAUCUGCAAUAUUUAUUAUAGACAUAUGCAUCGACAACCGCCCUUUUAAAGUUUUUAUAAAUGAAAAGGAAGAGGGGGUUGGAGAUCUCAAAUGUGGUAAGGAUGGAGAGACAAAUUGAUUGGAGAGAUGUUUUAUAUGAGCAAGGACUGGGUGAGGUAUUUAUGAAAUAACUUCCAUGCUCACUGUUGUUUCUCUCAUUCUUAAACUCCAAGGAUGAUUCUUCAUGAAUGCUUAAAAUUCCUCUAGGAUUGUCUCUCAAGUUUGUUUUAUCUAUCCAUUCAAUGGUGAUAGCACAUGGAUUUUUAAUGCCCUCUAGCCAUUGAUGUUGCUCUUCUCGAUCCUCCUUCUUAUGCAUGGGAUGUCUAGAGAGAUUCAUAGGAUUAUCGGGAGGUUCAAGAGAAAAAGCAUAGUAGAAAUUAUUAAGCUCAAGGAUGGGUUGGAUAGCCGAAUUAUGGGAUUGAAAUGUUUGGAAAUCGGCUAUUAAAACUUCCUCUCCUUGUAUGGGAGAUGAUUCCUUCUCUAUCUCUAAGAUUUUUCUAUGAAGACUAGUGCAAGAAGGAUGUCUACGAAUGAAGACAUACCUUCCUUUACUAAUAGAUAAAGAAAGAAAGACUCUACCAAAGGUUAUAUGAUUAAGACCAAUGUGAAAAUAUCUAGGAAAAACAUGGUCUUGUAGGGCUAGGUCUAAACCAGAAUUUAUAGAAAGAUUAAAAGAUUCCCUAGGUGUAGCUAAAAGUGCAUUAUCUUUUUUAUUAAAAGAUAGGACCUCAGCUAUAGAAAAGGGUUGGUUUUGACCUAUUGUAAUCAACUUCGGACACAGAUCAUAAUUAGGGGCAGGACGUGUUGACUCCCAUGGUCUAUGGCUGGUCUCCGAAGGUGCAAAGAAUUUAAUAAUAGGUAUGGAAUUUGAGUUAUCCAUAAAGAUAAAAAUAAAAAGAUAAAAGAAUAAAAGUAUAAAAGUAUAAUACAAGAUAAUAGCAAGACUCAAAGUUAUCUCAGCAAACCGUCUUUCUCCCCGGCAACGGCGCCAGAAAUGCUUGUUGAUAUUUGGUAACGCAAUAAGGAAACGAUCCGCAAGCGCACGGAUAUCGGUGAGCAUUUCACCCGGGAGGUUAUCCAGAGUUAUCGUAUUUAUAUUUUUACCACUGGGAGAAAGGGUGCAUCUGACUAACCAAAUCUAUUGCUACUAUCCCUUUAGGCACAAAGAAUGUCUUUCGAUGUGAGUGAUAAAUAGAGAAGACUGCAACUGUAGUCUCCUUCUAACUUUGGUAAGGAUGAUCUACUGUUCUAAUGGGGAGGCUAACGGAAUCUAGACACCACAAAGGAUGUUCGACCCGCACCUAUAAACCCUAUCCUUCCUGCUAACGAGAUGUGAUCUACAAAGGUAGCUCGGAAUUGUCACGUUCCUCACUACUACCACGGUCCAGCUAGUCAGGGAAUAUCUAUGAGUACCCCAGCCUAAACACCACGUUUACGCCAGCAAUGAUUACUCUAAACUCUACGCGAAGAGAUUAAAGUAAACUCAUAAACCAUAAGAACAAUAAAACAAGAACUUACUAGAAUUUAGAAGUCGAAUUACUGAAGAAUCCUAGGAGCAAGCUUCGGGUUAGGAGAACUUGAUCCCGCAGGUACAACCUUGGAGUAGACACCGACAGGCCGGGCUUCCUCCAAUCUACACCUCCACUCUAUCUCUCUCAAUCUAGUAGAAACUAGAAGAUCUAUUUCUACCUUACAUUGGUUGCUAAGCCUAAAAAGAAAUAUUAAUUAGAGAAUAGGUUUUCCUUCGAGGGCACCCCUCAGUCUCUAUGAUAAUUUCUUCAUGUCUUCUCCAGGGGCCAGGGGGGUCUCCUUAUAUAGUCCUCCCCUUCUAUGCGUUUUUGGGUCGAUAGGCGAGGUGGUACUAUGUUUUCCUUGAUCCAAUAGGUCGAUGGAACAUCCCGAGCGAAGAGAGUCCUGAACUGCAUCCAACAGGGGGCGGGCGCCCAGGUCCUCAGGGUGGGCGCCCUGGGCCUGGCCCCUUUCGACCUCCGCUUCCUUCCCGUGGCUUCUGGAGUCUUCUAGAUGGUAGAAAAUUGCGCGGUGCUUUGAUAUCUCUAUGUAAUCCCGACAUGUGGGCCUUUCUUUCGUAUUUCCUGAUAACCCCCUGCAGAAAUAGACAAACACCAAAACUCGUGGAAUUCUGUCAGAUAAAACCCUAAGUCUAGAUGUUGAUUUCAUUUGGAUCCUUUUCUUUGUUUAUUUGAUAAUUAAAUUUGAUACUUAAGGACCGUCAACAAUAGACCAACUAGGAGGUGAAAUGCUCACAUCUACAAUCCACUUGAUAUAAGGGCCAAUGGCCCUAGUAGACCAAGAUGCAUAAUUUAAACCAUCUAAAAUGAGAAGUUUUAGAGUUACCUCCUCACUUGUCAACAUCAUCUCUCAAGGAGAUUAAGCCCCAAAUUAAGAGCCUAGCUCUGAUACCAAUUGAAAGGAUCCAGAAAGUGUCAUAAUAUAAAAGUUUAACUUAACAAACUAUUAGAAUGCGGAACCUCCAAGAAAACACAAAGGUUCUAGGAUAUUAGAGUAACAAUCGAUCUAUUGUGGAAAAUAAUGAAUACAAAAUAGAUUGACUUAGAUACCAGCCUUCCUAGGGAGGAGUUGAGCUAUCUAAAUAGUUGGUUGCACCUAAACAAUGAAGGAUUCACAGAUCAGAUGCAAUCCCUAGAAUUCAUGUAAAACAUAAUUAGUAGCUGCAACAAUCACAAUAACAAGAGACAUGCGGAGGCCGUGGUUCAGUGUGACCAUAAAGGCUAGCAUACCCCAUGUUGUUGAGGUUAGCCACAAAGGUCAUGGAGUCUCUUGCAACUCGCUCCUCUUCUCUAACCUACCACCAAGGCAAUGAGGGAUCCACUAGAUAUCAGGGGCUAACAAACACACCAAAUAGCUAGAGCUUCACCAAGUGCAUGAGAAUAAAGGAGGUUGAUCUUCUUGAGCUUUCUCACAUUCUCAAAUGUCAUAUCCCUCAAGGAAUCACAAACAUUUGAGCAAGGGAGUUGGGGAGCACAAAGCUUAAAGAGAAAGAGAGAGCUAUUCUGCGAGUCUAAGUUUCUGAAGGAAGAGGAUGACCAUUAGGGGCGAAGGGGUAUGGUAUAAAUACCACCCAUGUCACCCAUAAUGGUCAAGUGUUUAUAUAUCCAGAAAAAGAGUUUAGCCCAGUUGGCUUUUUGUGGCUAGGAAUAUUUGAGAUAUGUAUAAAGAUUUGUGCACUUAGUUCCACCUCAGACCACUAUUAGUAUCCUCCCAUGACAGUAUGGCUUGUUCUAUAGUCAAUUUCAAAAGAUAAAAUAAAUUAAACUAGCUAUUUGAGCUAUAGCAAGUGAUUUCUUCUCAAUAUCACUUCAUGGGGGUUUGCAAUCACCUUUGUCUCAUCUCUUUGAGCAAACUCACCUUGAGCAUGUGACUUGAACCAUUUCCACAAAUAUGAGUUCAAUUCAUGGCUUCAAGUCACUUUCACUAAUGAUUUGAUCAUCAACAUAACAUUACUCCUCAUAGCUUGAUUAGUUCCUCGACUCAAUGCAAGUACUGUCUUCUUCAGCUUAGCCAUAGUACGUUAGUCCUAAAGCCAUCACUUGCCCUUCUCCUUCGCUUAGUGCCUCAAAGCCCUUUCGUUGCUAUCUUUACUUUAUCAAGCUAUACUCAGGUCACAUCAUAGUAAGCAUCCACUAAAACCAUUUAUUCAAUAUUGUAAUCUUUGAUUGAAUAUCUUCUAGAUAUGAAUGUUGAGAUCAAUCAAGCUUCAAUUUGAUUCAUAUAGAGACAUAUAUGAAUCAACAUCAAUAUGGUCAAGCCAAUUCACGAUUCCUUAUAUGCUAUUCAUUUUGGCUUGACACUCCUAACACUUAUUUCAAUAUCUACCUUCAUACUUUUAGCUUGAUCAAAUAAAUGCAAAGUGAUUUGUCAAAUCUUUAUCCAUACAAGAAAACCAAUAUAGAGACCGACUAAUAUCCAAUAUGAGUUGUAUCCUUUGUCAUUUGACAUGUGCUUAACAUUUUCUCACUUAUGAAUUUUUGAUUCAUCUUCAACCUUGAUCAAAGUUUAUUCACUAUAAAACUCUUCUUGUUCAUGUAAAGCAAGCCACACUUGAGACCAAUCCAAAAUCAUUAACUCAUGUCCCUUUUAUUAUUUGCCAAAUAUGCUUGCUUUCUCAUGAUACUAUGAUAUCCCAUAAUAUAUAGAAGCCAUUUCAUUAACUCCAUUUACAUUGUUGUCUUCUUGAACUAGAUUGUUUCCAUAAUCUUUCGACAUAACAAUACUCAAUUUUGGCUUUUAUUUCAACACUAUGUGGAGUACCAUCAAGCUUGCCUUCUUGUUGUACCUUUGAUAUAUCUGGUUAUGUAAUACUCAUGUGUAUGCAAUAUACUUAAUUUUCUGUUCAAUAUUUAGCAAACUUGUUUGACCUUUAAUGGUGUUGUCAUUCAAUUCACUAAAACCCACUAAAAGGAUAGAUGCACUUAUAGCAGGGCGCAUAGGCAGGGCGAACACGGUGGCCGUAGGGCGCUCGGACGCGCGAGGUAGGGCAGGUAGCCACGCAGGCACAAGGUAGAGGGGCGGGUGUGCAGGCGGCUUAGUGUGUGUGGUUUCUUUGGCUCGACGUGCGGGCGGCUUGGCCCAAAAAGCCUGACGAGUCUUUGCCGAGUGUCAGAUCAUGGGGCACUCGGCAAAGAUUUUUAUUAUUUAAAAAAGGUUGUAUAGUGAUAGAUCAGUGGCACUUGGCAUAGAAUUUAUUUUUUUUAAUUUCUCUGCCGACUGCCAAAUCAGGAGCACUCGAUAUAGAAUUAUUUUUUUCAAUUUCUUUGUCCAGUGCUAGAUUAGGGGCACUCGGCAAAGAAUUAUUUUUUUAAUUUUUUUUGCUAACUGCAGGGGCACUCGACAAACAAUUAAUUUUUUAAUUAUUUUCUUUGCCGAAUGCGUAGCGGCACUCAACAAUAAUUUUUUUCCUUUUUUAAUUAUUUUUUUAAAAAAAUUUCUUUAAAAAGCACAUAACUAUGUAGAUUUAAAAAUUAACAAAAGACUGGCCGGUUAGCACUCGACAAAGAUAUUGUUUUAAAUAAAUUGGAUUAGUAUUUGCCGAGUUUUGUACGGAGGGCACUUGGCAAAGAGGUUUUACAGAGUGCCAAAAUGGGGCACUCGACAAAGUUUCUUUCUUUUUUUUGCCUCCAAACUUUUCUUGCUGUCUUUACCAAGUAUUUUAGAGUGCAUGUUCAAAUUUGGCACGUUCUUGAUGUUUUUGCUAUAUUUCAUAAAUUUAUUUCAUUAAAUUACAUUUUUCCAAGAAAAUAAUGUUUGAAUUGUAGAUGCCUCUGUUGACACCAUUUUUUUGGCACGAGUCAGGAUAGUCAUGGAGAGCUGAUCGGCAGUCAGAAAAAUGCUGUGUCAAGCUGAUAAAGAGACUGCCGAUAAUUAAUGAUGCUAAUGAUAGGAUGACAGGUGGAGGAUGUUGGUGGCCUAAAGGUUAAGACGGUAGUCACUAUUCAUUACCGAUUGAUUGCCGACACCGAUGAUUACCGAUGCCGAUGCAGAAAGGUGUGGAAGUUGCUAAGGAGGAUACAGGGAGUAUGCCAAUGCCAAUGAAGGAAGGUGUGGAAGCUGUUAAAAGCAAUAAUGACAUGCCGAUGAAAAGUUUCAUUGUAAUUAAGUAGGCACCAGGAUAGAUAGGCGGAUGCUUUCCAUAUUUAUUAAAGUAUAACUUAUGUUAGAGUCCUGUUUUGUUUAGAAUUAAAUCCUAGUCGUAUACGGUUGUAACUCUUUAGACCAGGGUAUGAAUAUAGGCCUAGUAGCAAUGUAACAACAAUCAAUCAAUAUCAUACACAAGUUUUACAUCUACUUUUUUGACGACUUCGUCAACUUGCAGAUUUUAUUUUAUUUACGAGUUCUUAGGGAUUCAUCGAGCAAUACUCGGUGAAUUCUCGAGUUCCGCGUGAGUACCUCUUGGCCGUGGCAUCCGGGCGCAUCGCUGUUGUCGGGACCAAAGUAUUCAAGGUAUCACCUUUGUCGAUUGUUAGGUCAAAUCGGCUGGCACGCCUCAACGUUUGAAUCGGGUAUUAGCCCUUUAUGUUUGCAGAUCUAUUUUUGCAUCAACACAUCUUUUGGCAUGCCCAGUGGGACAAAUAUAUCCGCAAGAUCGACAUGGCUACUACUGAGCUUGAUGCAGACAAUGUCAUUGGCGUCACAGAAGCUGAUCUCAGGGAAGAACAGAAGCAAGCUAUGGAAAGGGCUAUGGAGGAAUACAGGCAGCUCUGUCUGAAAUCCUUCAGCAUGAAUAGGAGCGGGGAAGUUAUCCAGAAGCAGGAUCUGCCGAUGCCUCGGCAGGUUACUUUUGAUCCCAAUCCUGGUAAACUGCAAGACAUGGUUAAUAUUGUUGUUAAUCAUGCUUUGAUUAAUCACUCCAAUGUGCUGUCAAUACUGUUUACAAUGUUGUGGUUCAAACUUUUAAAGGACAGACACCACCACUUUAUGCUGGUCGAGCCUACCAUCCGCUAGGGUUAUCAUCGGUCAUGGCUUUAUGGCAUGUCUCUAGAAUUUUUCACAAAUAGUUCUAGAACCUCUUAGGUAACUGACUUACUAGGGAAAGCUCCCAUGACAUCGGCGCCUGCAGUUUCACCGAUGACUCAAAUUCCUCAGUAUUCUACAACAACCACUGCAAGACCAGUUAUGGGGAAUUUUUAGGCACCUAUGUUACAGAUACGUAAUGUGCCUAAUGCAAAUUCAUCGCAGAUCCAUUGCCGACUCAACGGAGGAUUGUAACUCAUACAGGUUAUGUCAGCCCAGCAAUAACGACUAGUGAUCAGCCAUCGGUAGGACUUGUGCCGACGAACGCCAAUAAUGAUUGGACAGGGCAGUUGGUCUUUCCACAUGCAACAUAGCAGAAUUAUCAGGCUGCAGGAUUCCAACAAGGGUAGAUGCAAGUUGAUUUCCAAAAUCAAGGGCCGGCAAAUCAGCCGAUGAAUCUUGCUCAGCAGAUCGGUGGUCAGCAAGCUAUGGCUAAUAUGAUGUUUUCUGGAGAUCGUGUACCCCAAAGACACAUAGAAGCUUAUCAGCAGGUACCAGAAGUUCAACACGUACAUCGGCAGGAUGCCGAUGCCUAUUGGGCCGAUAAGAUAGCAGAAGUUAUGAGGGAUCAGUCUGGGAUAAAACCCAAAGAUAACACAUAUUGUUAUCGGACACCAUACCCUCCUACUUAUGAUUUAAUUCCACUCCCAAAUCGGUAUAAGGUGCUGGAUUUCACUACGUUCUCUGGGUAGGAUGACACAUCAACCAUGGAACAUAUCAAUCGGUUCAUCAUUCAGUGUGGAGAAGCGGCUAACAUUGAUGAGUUGAGAGUUCGUUUAUUUUCAUCAUCUUUGUCAGGAUCGGCGUUUACCUGGUUUAUUUCGUUGCCUCCAAACUCAGUCAUUACUUGGGCCGAUUUAGAAAAGCAGUUUCAUAAAUACUUUUUUUCUAGAGUGCAUGAGAAGAAACUUAUAGAUUUAGUAAGAUUGAGACAACAUAAUGAUGAAUCGGUAGAAAGUUAUGUGCAGAGGCUGCGGGAUGUAAAGAACAAUUGUUACAGUCUGGUUCUAGAUGAUCGGCAGUUAGCCGAUUUGGCUUUUCAGGGAUUGAUGCCACAUAUCAAGGAUAAAUAUGCUUCUCAAGUGUUUGAAAGUUUGAGUCAUUUGGUGCAGAGAAUUUCUGAUCAACAUAUCCAAGUUUUUGAACCAAGAAAGGCUUGGAAUAAGAAAGUGUCAUUCGUUGGUGAUGCAGGGGGCUCUGAUUCUGAUGAAGAACCAGUCAUCGGCUUGGCAGAGUGGGUGAAGAACAAAAAGCCGAUGUCUUGUCCUUUUGUCUAGAAAGAACCAGAAAAGUUUGCUUUUGAUAUCACCAAAGACGAUAGGAUAUUUGAUUUCUUGCUUCAGAAAGGACAGAUUAAAUUGUCACCUAAUCAUGUGAUCCCAUUCGCAGAAGAGCUAAAGAAAAUCAAGUUUUGCAAAUGGCAUAAUGCAACAUCACAUAGCAUAAAUGAAUGCAAAGUGUUUAGGCAGCAAUUGCAAUCGGCUAUAGAAUCUGGGAUAAUUAAGUUUGAUAAUUCUAAAACUCAGAAGCCGAUGAAAAUUGAUCAACAUCCUUUCCUACAAAUAUGUUGGAUGCCAAAGGUAAGACCAAGGUUUUAACAUCAGAAACAGAAGAAAAGAACGCAUCGGUGGAUCCUCAACAUCAAGUACUACCGAUGACGCCAAGGGAAAAGGUUUGAUAAAGGUAGUAGUUCAAGCCGACCUCCCCGAUCUGGUGUUGUAAUUACCCAUAGGCGGCAUCGGGAAACUUGGCAGCAGAGGGAGGAUCAAUAUCAGCGUCAGCAAGAACACCGACGUCAAGAGGAAGAAAGGCGUCGACAAGAAUGGAAUCGGCACAGGGAUCAUUGGGGUUGCCCGUUCUUUGUUCAUUGCUGCGAACGAAAUAUCAAGCUGCCGACUGUUUAGGAUUGCCCUAAAUGUAAUGGUUAUCGUCGGCAUGAUCGGUUAGAUCAGAAGUACCAGAACCAUGAUCGACAUUUCAAUGGACCGAUCAUGGGAAGAGCGUCAGUUCAUGAUCGGCUGGGGGCAGGCUCAGUGUGCAUGACAGGCUUGGUGAGCGUUGUUGACACUAGCUAACACCACUUAGAUACUAGGUUGUCAUCCCUAGCAUGGCGCCAGAGUGUACAAAGGUAUUUAUAAAUGUAAAGGGCUCUCUAGAAAAUAAUCUAUUCUAUCCGCAAGCGCACAGAUAAAACACCUCAUUGUAGCAUUUCACCAGGAUAAGUAUUCCAGGUAUCGUUAUUUACAAUUUUUCUCAAGGGAUCUAAGGAAAUGAAAUUAAAAUAAAAGGGGGGCAAAAUCUAUCAAGGCAUAGACUAGAGAUAAACUUGCAAGAACAUGAUUACUAAUGAGAAACUCGUCACACAGUCACAUACUUUAGCAGGGGGUAAACCAUAAAGAUAAUGAUAAUAAAGUAUAAGUUCAUGGGUAGAUAGCACAGCGAUUAGAAAAUAGACUACUCAUAUAUGUAGGUGAUGUCGGAUUAGCUAGAGAAUGGAUUCUAAGUUAUCUACUAACUACUAAGUCAUAAUCUACUCUAGUUAUCUACAAGAUCAUGUAUAGCAUAAAAGACUCUUCAUUCAUGUAUAAGGAACAUUGAUAAAGUAAAUCAGAGCAUAGCAUGACUUACUCCACAAUACCGGUUCUGCCUGUCCUAUCAAUGGAGGGUGGACUAUAUAAGAAUCAACGAAGCUGUCACUAUCGCGAACUACCACACGACUCGGCCAAUAGGAUACAUUUGCAGAUAAAUAACAUCUAAGCACCACGCUCACAUGUGAUCUAUCACCUAACUCCCUCGCGUCAAGAGGUAAGCCCUUUGCAAACUUAUACAUAAACUCAUUAUCAAUUAGAACUAUAUCAAAUAUAGAACUAGAGCAAACUAAGAGCAUAAUAAUUAGAGACAAAUUGCAAUUAGAACAAUAGAAUUAGAGAAAGAUAUGAAUAAUACCAAUCUUUAUUACCGAAGAUCCGAAUCCAGAGCGUAGUGCUCUACUUCUCUAAUUGCUAUCUAAUCAAACCUCUAAACUUGAAGGAUUAGGGAGUAGCUAAUUCUAAUUCUCUGUGGGAGAGAAGCUCUAAACCCUAACUUUGAUGGCUACCUCUGAAUAAUGAUUUCUCCUCUCUCUCCUCUAGGGGCCAGGGGGUUUGGUUUUAUAGUCCCCUCAAGUGAACGUGAGCCAUUGGAUCAAACCGACAUAGAUUGUAUGGUUUAGAUUGAUCCUUUAGGUCGGUGGAGCAUAGUCCUGAAGCAGAGUCCUGUUUGGCCUCCAACCCUGGGCGGGCGCCCAAGGGGGCUGGGCGGGCGCCCUGCCCCCGAGCCCGAAUCGCGUCCCAUUCGUUCCCGUGGCUUCUGGAUCCUUCUAGAUUGAGGAAAAUUGCGCGGCACGUAAUUAUCUCGUUGUAAACAUGACAUGUGGGCCUUCUCUCCAUAUUUUCUGAUAAACCCCUGCAGAAAUAGAUAAACACCAAAGCUCGUGGAAUUCUGUCAGAUAAAACCCUAAUUCUAGAUGUUUGUUUCAUAUUGAUCCUUUUUCAUGUUUAUUUGAUUAUUAAUUUUAGUACUUAAGGACCGUCAACAAGCGUGUCUGUCCUUUCCCCAGAAAUCAAGAAGAACUUGAAGAAAUGGCAAAUGCACGGGUUCCCGAUGAAUUUAUAUUCUACAGAGAUUCAAAUAUUCAUUGUGCAGAAUCAAAGGAAGUUCGCUAUCAGCCAGUGUGGAAAACAAUGAUUCUCCGAUGGUGCCCAGAAGGCUUAACAAGGACGCAAAGAAAGAGGAUGCAACGGGAGCGUCAAAAAGAUCUGUAUAGAGAAGAAAAUUCUUCUAAGACUGAAGAUCGGUAGCGGUUGGACCGCAAAGGAAAUGGACCACCGGCAGAUGUCAAUAUGGUGUUUAUGUUGCCGAUGGAGUUUCUUGCGCCCUUUAGUGAUGAUGAGGACAUAAAUUUCCCUAAUCAGAUAGCUCAGUUGGCACUUGAUCCAAUGAUGGCAAUUUUUGAGAAACCUUCCAAUGAUGAAAGGCAGCAUCUUAAAGCUUUAUUAGUUAAAGGCAGGGUUGAUGGGCAGCCAGUUUCCAAAAUACUUAUUGAUGGAGGAGCUGCAAUUAAAAUCAUGUCGUAUGUAAUGUAUCGGAAGCUUGGUAAAGGAGACCUGGAUUUAACCAAGGCCGAUAUGAUGUUUGUUGACGGUCCUUAAGUAUCAAAAUUAAUUAUCAAAUAAAUAAAGAAAAGGAUCCAAAUGAAAUCAACAUCUAGACUUAGGGUUUUAUCUGACAGAAUUCCACGAGUUUUGGUGUUUGUCUAUUUCUGCAGCGGGUUAUCAGGAAAUAAGGAAGAAAGGCCCACACGUCGGGAUUACAUAGAGAUAUUAACGUGCCGCGCAAUUAUCUUACAUCUAGAAGACUCCAGAAGCCACGAGACCGAAGCGGAGACGAAACGGGGCCAGAGGCAUGGCGCCCGCCCUAUUCCCGUGGGCGCCCGCCCUCUCCCUAAGUCCAAUCAGGACUCUGCUUCGUGGGAGAUCUCCACCGACCUAAAGGAUGAAUCUAAACCAUACAAUCAAUGUCGAUUUGAUCCAACGGCCCAUAUUCACUUGAAGGGACUAUAAAACCAGACCCCCUGGCCCCUAGAGGAGAGAGCCUCUCAACCCUAAUUCAUUGUUCCUCAAGGGAGAAGAAGCCUCUGAUCAAGAUUAGAGCCACCACAUCAAUUAGACAUCUAGAUUAGCAUAGCUACAUAGGAUUAGAACUAGAAGGAGUCAAUCUUCGAUUAGUUUCCGGAUCUGUCAAGAGGAUUCUUGGUAAUUCUCUAAUUGUGCUUCUAAUUACUUUCUAAUUAUCUUUGUUCUUCAAUAUUAUGAAUAUGACUUUGUUCUACUUCAAUAUAUUGCUUAUGACUUUGCUCUACUUGCUUAUAUUCAAGAUUAUAUUGUUCUUAGUUUAUCAUAGUUAUGUACUUGGCUUAGUUAGAUUGGAUCUAUAUACAUGCUUAGGAUCGUAUAGCGUUUAUCCAUCGGAUCCAUGGGUAAAUGAUAGAUAUUGUGUAGGCGUGGUGCUUAUACCGUAUUUAUCUGCGAUUGUACCCAAUAUGCCAGAUCGUGGGGUGGUUCGUGAUAGUGACAGCUUCAUUGAUUCUUAUAUAGUCCCCCUCUCGUGUAUUGGGCUGGCAGAGCAACAUUAUUACAGGAGAGUGAUUGCUAUGUUUCUCAUUUACUUUGCUAAUAUCACUAUGCAUGGGCGUAGUCUUGUCUCACAAUGAUUGCUAAGUAUGCUUGCACUAAUUAUGAUAAUGCUAGACUAUAUAGUUGAGAAUAACUUGGUGAAUAUUCUUGUAGUUCGUUCUAAUACCAUGCUAAUGACUUUCUAGAGUAUCUAAUUGAGGUGCUUAUCAUAUUUAUUAUGUGGCUAGAUCAGAUUAAUUAUCUUUGUCACUAUUCAUUAUCUCAUAUAUCUUUUAUGUGACACUUAUCCCUGUAUGAAGAGCUAGAUAUAAUGUUCUCAAUUAUACAUGCAAUGAUAGAUGCUCAAUCUCAUAUUCUAUUCUGUAAUCAAUAUUGAUGAUUGUUAAUCCCUUCCCAGUGGUAAAAAUAUAAAUAACGAUACCUGGAAUACUUCCCGGUUAAAAUGCUGCAUCGGUAUUAAUCUGUGCGCUUGCAGAUCCCAUUCAUUAUUUAUUUAGAAGAGCAAUUGCAUAUUUCAAUACCACGUCUCUUAUAUCAUGCCGGGGAUGACAACUUGGCUUAAGUGGUGUGAGGGAUAGGUUUGGCAUUUUUGGCACCGUUACUAGAUUUAGAGAACUUAGUCUACUUUUGGUAAUGAUGUUAAGAAUACCCAACAAGCAUUUUUGGUGCAGUUGGCGGGGAAGGUUGAUUACUAAUCAGGAAUGGAAUAAAAGAUUUUGAGUUAUCAUUCGCAUCACUAAUAUGAUUGAGCUUAUCUAUUCUCUCAUACAGUUUUACCCCGAUAUUUUUCUAUUUUAUCUUUUGCAGGGGAAUGUAUGAAUAGAAGACAUCUUCCAGGAAAUUUUGUUGACAAUCCCAAAGCAUUAUUCAAGAAGACGAGAGCCAAGCUCAAGAAGAGAUCAUCAACACUUCAGCAAGAAGCUUCAUCCAAUCAAGAAGAUCACCGGAACUUGUCUUCAGAGUUCGAAGCCAUGGCGAACAAAUCAAUCCGCGAGUUCUCAGCUCCCACUACGGACAACAUCCGCACUGGACCUGCUGCAGAGAUCGACGGCAACUUUGAGCUCAAGCCUGGACUUAUCAACAUGGUGCAAUCCAACCAGUUCUGUGGGAAGGCACACGAAGAUGCUAGUGCUCAUUUACAACACUUCCUGGAGAUUUGCAACACAUUCACCAUAUCAGGAGUUUCCAAAGAUGCUAUACUACUUCGCCUCUUCCCAUUCUCACUGUUAGGGAGAGCGAAGCAGUGGUUCUACGCUACAAAGGAGAAGAAUACUACGUGGGCACUCUCCUCAACAAACUUCCUGGCAAAGUUCUUUUCCAUGGGCAAGACCACUGCUCUCCGUGGGGGAUUACAAGUUUUCAGCAACAAAAUGAUGAAUCUGUUCCAGAAGCAUGGGAGCGCUUUCAAGACUACAUCCUAGAAUGUCCCCAUCAUGGAAUGGAGAGUUGGCUACUAAUGCAGACGUUUUAUCACGGGCUUGGCAACAGUGCCCGAGAGAUCAUGGAUGCUGCAGCUGGAGGAGCAUUCUUAUCACUUACUAUACCACAAGCCACAGCUCUUGUGGAGAAGAUGGCGUCCAACCAAAGAUGGAAUGAAGAGAGGACCCAGACACGCAAGAGAGGUGGAGGUAUGCAUCAGCUCAAGGAGGUAGACAUGCUGUCUGCAAAGCUAGACCUGCUCAUGAAGAAGCUCAACGAUAGAGCUCGAGACAAGAAAGAAGUUAUGCACAUCUACGACUCUCACAUGACUUGUGAGGAGUGUGGAGAUACUGGACACUCAGGCAAUCACUGCCCUGAGAUGCUUGAGGAUGUGAACUACAUCAACAACAACUACUACUACUACUACAACCGUCCUCAACAAAAUCAAGGUUGGAAUCAAUAGAGGCCUAACUACUCAGGUAAUUAUCGAGGUAAUAAUUCUUACAAUAAUAAUAAUUUUCCACCUCUGAGAGAGUUAGUGUCUAAUCAAGGAAAGCUAAUGGAUAACCUAUCUAAGAAAUUGGCAUCUAAUGAUAAAAUGCUAGAAAAUAUAAAUAAUAGAAUGGAAAAUUUCUCUACUACCAUCAAGAAUCAAAUUAGCUUUAAUAAAAUGAUUGAAUCUCAGUUAAAUCAAAUAGCUGCUGCUGUUCCUACUACUAACCCCGGUAUACCAUCACAACCGGAAGGAUUAGAAUCUGCAAAUCUUGUAGACAUGUUUGAUGCAGGUAAUAAUUGGAGUAACCCCGUCACUGUUCUCUACUGACCUUCUGCCGGUCAAGAGAGGUGAUCCAGGACGCCCCGUCAUCCCGAUCUCCAUCGGCAUGGUGGACGUUCCAGAAGCACACUGCGACUUUGGCUCUAGUGUCAACAUUAUACCCAGGGUACUCUAUGAAAAAUUCUUUAUAUAUCCUUUAUUAGAAACAACCAUGUGUUUGAAGUUUGCAGAUCAAACGAUAACUUUUCCAAAAGGAAUAUUGAGGAACCUUUGCGUCCGAGUUGGUACCUUGUAUGCCCUAGCAGACUUCGUAGUGGUAGAGACCGGAAAUGAUGAGAGAGCACCCAUCAUCUUAGCGAGGCCAUUCUUGAACACCACGGGAGCUAUCAUCUACGCUAGUGCUGCCAAGAUCAGUUUCUACGUCAAAGGGAGGAAGGAGAUAUUUUUCUUCAAGAACAAGACUACACAAAUUCCAGAUCAAUCCAGACGUGAGUCAAGGAAGAGGACCAACAGGAGGAACAGGAACAAGCAAGUGUGGACUGAGUCAGCUAAGAUGGUCACUGUAGUUCAUGGAGGCCAAGAUCACCAACUUAAGUCACCGCUUUUGACCAAGAAGGACGACCCAGGAAUGCCAAGCAUUUAUUGCUCCAUAAAUGGAUACAACUUCUACAAGAUGACUUGUGACACCGGAUCGGGCGUCAACAUAAUGGCCGCAGUCACCUAUCGGCUCUUGUUCGGAACCAUGCCACUAAAACCAACAUACAUUCAGCUCCAGAUGGCAGAUCAGACAUUUUGAGAAGUUAAAGGAACAGUAUCUGAUGUCCCAGUCAAAAUAGACGAUCAUGUUGUCUACACAGACUCUCAAGUUAUUGACAUGGGAGAAGACGAGUAUGAUCCACCCAUCAUCCUUGGAAGACCGUUCCUCAGUACCGUUAAAGCAAUCAUCUACAUUGGAACCGGAGAAGUCCAUAUGCACUUCCUCUCAGAGAAGGUACGCCGUUAUUUUACUGACCCUAACUAUAUCGUUGAAGAAUCUAAGCAGGUAAGAAAACGACGCAACCGCAACCAGAGGAGGCAGAUCAUCACGGAUGGAUGGGCAGACUAUGAAGGAGAAGUUGUAAGGUCAGAAGACGUAGAGUUUAAACAGAAUUAUCCAGAGGAGAUUGAAGCACCAAGUCAGGUGUGGAAAAUGAAGAUAACUAUACAGGAAGAGGAGGCGCUGCUGUAACACCCAAAAUUUUGAAUUUUAAUUAAUAGGAUUUAAUUUGAAUUAUUUAAGAAUUUUAGUGAGCAUUUAAUGUAGCAAAUAAAUAAUUUUUGUGGAAAUUAAAAUUUAUCAUAAGCUUAGUAACAUGAUUUUGUGCAUUCAUGCUGAGAUAUAUUUUAUUUUGUGUUGAUUGUAUUUGGUUUGUAUUUAAUUGUCCUCAAAAUCCUUUCUGAAAAAAAAACUUUGAAAAAAAAUAAAACAAAACAGAAAAGAAAUUAGAAAUAAAAAAAAAGAGAAAGCCCUUGGAAGACAGCCCGAAGCCCAGCUCCCCGGCCUGGCUCCUCCCCCUCUUCUCUGCUCGCUGACACCCUGGGGCCGCAUGUCAGCGCUUCCAUCUCCUUCCUCUGUUCGUAACCGAGCCGGACACGGCCGGGAGCCAAUCGAACCCGAUUUCUCGGGAUUACUUGCCAAACGCGUUAGCCGAGCCCCUAUAUAAUCCCUAGCAUCGCCCCCGCGCGUGUUUCCCAUCUUCGCCGCGCAAAAUCCGUGUCCUAGCUACAGCAGCCGCCAGACGGGAUCUUGCCGCAAGCCCGUCGUUCUUCGGCCCCAGCAAAGCACCUCCUCGAGUUCGCGGUGAGCUCCUCGUUCCGAUGGUGUUUUUCUUUCUUGAAACGGUGCUCGGAAACGAGAAACCCGCGAACGCCGGCGAGCUUUCGAACGGUGGCCAUGGCGCCACCGUGCUGAGCUCCGGUCGGCCGGCCAGGCUUGGCCCUGGAUGGAACACCAGCCGUUAGAUGCAAGAUCAAGGGACAGAAAUAGAAGUUACCCCUUCAGCUGCGAAACUAUAUAAAGAGUCCUUGAACUUUUUCAUAUUUGCUCCGCAGUCCUUGGCGCCCUGAGACGAUUCCGUUACUCAACUCCGAAAGCGUAUUUCGUGAAUUGCCAUUGGAUUUAGUUUGCUCAUAAAAUACUCAUUUUAACUCCGUUUUUGUCCAUUCAAAUUCCGUUGGAUUCGUAUUUACGAUCUCUACAUGUUAGAAAUAUUAGUUUACUGUUUUGAAACAUUUUAAUUCUGCAGUAGCAUUUAAUUAAUUAUUACUCUAUAGGAAAUCUUAGAAAAUUCAUAUCUUACUCGUUUUAAUUCCGAUUUUCGUGAACUUUACGUUUGUGUGAUCGUAGCGCUGCGUAGAAUAUUAUCAUAAACUUUUAUAUUUGUUUUACCACUGUUUGGUGUAUUGUUCUAAUUAUACCUUGUUUGCUUCGUGUAUGAUUGUCUACAUUGGAUUGCGUGUUGUUGAUUGAUGAUUGGGAUUAGACGGUGAGCCGUACGUUGGUGAUCAAGACCAAGCUUUUGAAGACCAGCGGGCUCAGGAGAGCUUUGGUCAAGGCAAGUAUAACUUGGGACCAUCCUUGUUACCUAUUCACUUAUAACUACAUAUAUAUAUCAUAUGCAUGCUAUCACCUUGUCGACCUUAGCAAAAUCAUAGAUGAUUGUUACCUGUAUUCCUUGCUACCUACUUGAUAUGCAUUUGGUAUAGAUGUGCUAGUGCUUGAUAUAAUCCAUGAUCUUGUAAGAUGAUUAAUAGCUAUGCAAUGAACAUAAAAGAAUAACAAAUAACUAUAUGAGAUCUUGUCUGUAAGUGAUCACCGGGACAACAGUGCAACCAUGAGGGCUAUAAUGUCUCUGGCUUUAGCUCAGUAUGAAGCACUUUUCUAGCUGGUUAGAGGUUACCCGAAAGGGCGGAGGGGCUGAACCGUUUUGGGUAUAGUGUGGCCUCUGUCUGUAUGAGUAUAGGCUGCGAGUCAUUGUGCCAUCGGAAGGGGGGCUCUAUAUCUGCGCGCAAAGAAAACCUUGCGGCCCUAACUUGUUAGACGAACUUUUGAAAGGCUUCAUAGUGAUCCCUGCCGACCUCCCUAGGAAGGGGGUUAAGAGAUUAGCUACCUCGGGCGAAAGGGUAAAUCAUGACUCAUGGGUAAAGAUGUACAACCUCUGCAGAGUGUAAAACUGGUAUACUAGCCGUGCUCACGGUUAUGAGCGGCCUUGGGGGUUCUUGCUGCGCCGACGAUGAGCUUAUUAAGUUGUUAGGUUCAUUUGAUUAUCGUUUAUGCAAUGGAUUAAUUAUGCUUACACAUGAUCAUGGGAUUAAUGGAUUAUUUAUGCUUCCUUGACAAUUGCUAUUUAAUUAUGAACAUGCUAUCCACUAUUAAAAGCUAAAUGCAGUCAAACCAGUGUCAGCUAUUUGAGCCUCAUGAACCCCUGGUUAUACUUGUUGAGUACGAUAUGUGCUCACUCUUGCAAUUUCCCAACACCUCAGGGUAUGAUAAUGAAGAUGACUGGAAUGAGGAUUAUCGGUAUGAGUACUAGGUUUGGAGUCAACCAGUCAACAGUGUCCCUGUGUGGAGCUUCCAUCGAGAGCGUUGUUUACUUUAUGCUAUCAUUUUUGUAUGAGACUAUGUGAUUCAAUAUAUAGUCCGCUAUGUAAUAAACACUGCAAUGGUACAUUUGAGAUUUGUCUACUUAUGUGUGCGACUGUUUCUGGGGCACAUAUGAGUCUUUUAUGCAUCCUAUUUUGUUCUUAAAAUAUGGGUGUGACAAAUUGGUAUCAGAGCUUUGUUGACUGUCGGACGCAAGCCUAGUUAGAAAUUGGCCGUCAUAAGGUUUUGAAAUUGCUAUAAAAUCCUUGUUCUAUAAACCUUGAUAUUUUCUUCUACACUAUAUCCUAUUCAUCUUCACCUUGUUGCUUAUCUUAAAGACUUGUUCUCAUCCCCACUCCUUGCUUUGAAUAUGCUUUUAGAACCUUCUCUUACUACCUGCUUACAUAGUUGAAAGAGAAUUUUAGGAAUCUUUGCCCUUAAUAGGAAGAGAACGAUAGUACCGCAAGUUGAGUUAAUGCUUGAAAUGCGAACCUUUGAUGCUUGGUUUGGUUUGUUAUUAUGCUUAUGCUUGAUUUGGAUCUUUGUAAUGAGUGCAAUGAUCUUGUGGAUUUCCUCUACAAUUUCAUUUAGUUUAUAGGCUUAAGGCAUAAGGAUUAAUGAACUAAAUAGUUGGGGUUGGUUAAAAUUCUGUUUCUGUCCUUUGCUGUUUUAUGGAGCAGUCUGCAAUGAAUCUGGUACAUCUCAAAAUCUGUUCAUGCAAUGUCCAUCAAAUUUUUCUGGGAACAAGUAGACUUCCAUAUCUUUCCAAUGCCGCAAGAAUGACCAUAUCAUCGAUUAUGAGCUGAGAGUUAUGACUGUUUCAAGUUGAGGUUUCUGCGCAGUCUGGAAUUCUGGAACAGUUUCGGUUGUACCCAGUUUUUGGUUAACCUCACGUUGGAAUCUGGUAAUAUGAUCUAAAUGAAAGUUGUAGACAAUUUCUUUAUCUUUCCAACGGUGUACAAUAUGUAUCCUUUUGAAUUCUGGAACUCGAGAUAUUACUGAUUUUCUGAUCUGCUGAUGUUGGAUGUUACCCAGAAAAUUUCAGAUUCGGUUAACUCUUGUAAUUGUCAUGUUGGACAUUACUAAGAUGUGUUUAUAUACCUUGGAAUGCAGAUGGCAGCAAGGGGAAGAGGCAGAGGCAGAGGCCGUGGCAAUAGUGACAAUGCCCCAAUUACUGUGGAGGAACUUAUGCAAACUCAGAAUCAGAUGAUGCACGUCUUCAUGCAACACCUACAACAACAACCUCCACCAACACCACCACCUGUUCAUGUGAGAGAUAAGCGGGGGGAAUUCAUGAAGGGAAGACCUCCGGUAUUUACACACUCAGCGGAUCCCAUGGAGGCGGAUGAUUGGUUACGUGCUGUGGAGAGGCAACUAAACAUAGCACAGUGCAAUGACUUAGAGAAGGUGUUGUAUGCUUCUGGACAACUUCAGGGAGCAGCUCAGACCUGGUGGGAGUCAUAUCAAGCUGCUCGUUCCAACAAUGCUCCUCCUGUCACUUGGUUAGAAUUUUGCAGAGACUUCCGAGCACGACACAUCAAUGAAGGAAUGAUGGAGCUCAAGCAGGAAGAAUUCAGAUCUCUUAGGAUGGGUUCUAUGUCUGUGGCUGAGUAUCAUGACACGUUUGAGCAGUUGGCUCGCUAUGCUCCAAACGAAGUCAGAGAAGAUGCUGACAAACAACGUCUCUUCAUGAAAUGUCUUUACCAUGAACUCAGAUUGCAACUGGCUGGAAAUACCUACCCUACAUUCCAGGCUCUGGUGAACCGUGCCAUUGUGUUGGAUAACAUGCGCAAAGGUCUGGAUAAGAAGAGGAGGAUGCUAGCACAAGGGUCUGGAGGCAACAACCGCCAACGUUUCAAUUCUCAGCAGAGCAAUCAACAGAGGUUCCAGGGACCAGUUAGUCAAUGGGAUCGCAACCAACAAUCUCAGCGUAAUCCUAAUCAUCAACAAAGUGGACAGCAGACUUCCCGCUCCGGAGAUUCAAAUGCCACCUCUAUGAAGAGAAGUGCUCCCAAUACCCCUACUAGGUGUUUUCGCUGUGGGAAAGAAGGUCAUAUGUCAUAUGAUUGCCCGGAGAGAUUCAACCAGCGGAACAACAAUCAAAAGUCUAAUUCUCAUGGAGCAAAGGUGAACCAUGUGGCUGCAGAGACAGUACAAGAGGGACCGGAGAUUAUGAUGGGUACGUUCAGUAUCAACUCUAUUCCCGCUACAGUUUUAUUUGAUUCUGGAGCUUCGCAUACAUUCAUAUCACAAGCAUUUGUUAGAGCUCAUAGCAUACCACUAGUUGCCCUGAAAACCCAUAUGCUAGUAAACUCACCGGGAGGGACUAUACCAGUUUCAUAUUGUUGCCCCUCAGCAAGUCUUUCUUUAAGGGGGGUAGAUUUCCCUGUUAGUCCCAUGGUUAUGAGAACCUCAGGCAUAGAUGUGAUAUUGGGUUUGGAUUGGAUGAAGAAAUAUGCUACGGAAAUUAAGUGCAAGGAGAAAGUAGUAGUUGUGACCACACCCAAGGGAGAGAGAAUCAGUGUGGACGUAGCAGUACAAGCUCCACCCACAGCCACAGUGAAUCAUUUAGAGGAUGAUGGUGUUGAUCUUCAGGACUGUGUAGGGAAUAAAUUUUCAGAUAAGUUAUUAGGUAUGUUACUUGACUAGAGACAUUGAAUUUGCUAGUGCAAUGGGAUUGGCAUUCACAAGGAGAAACAACUUGGGAAAGAGAAGAGGAUUGGAGAGAAUCAAAUCCACAGUGCUUUAUUUACACACUGCUCAAUCUCGAGGACGAGAUUCUUUUAAGGGGGUAGAGUUUGUAACACCCAAAAUUUUGAAUUUUAAUUAAUAGGAUUUAAUUUGAAUUAUUUAAGAAUUUUAGUGAGCAUUUAAUGUAGCAAAUAAAUAAUUUUUGUGGAAAUUAAAAUUUAUCAUAAGCUUAGUAACAUGAUUUUGUGCAUUCAUGCUGAGAUAUAUUUUAUUUUGUGUUGAUUGUAUUUGGUUUGUAUUUAAUUGUCCUCAAAAUCCUUUCUGAAAAAAAAACUUUGAAAAAAAAAUAAAACAAAACAGAAAAGAAAUUAGAAAUAAAAAAAAAAGAGAAAGCCCUUGGAAGACAGCCGAAGCCCAGCUCCCCGGCCUGGCUCCUCCCCCUCUUCUCUCCUCGCUGACACCCUGGGGCCGCAUGUCAGCGCUUCCAUCUCCUUCCUCUGUUCGUAACCGAGCCGGACACGGCCGGGAGCCAAUCGAACCCGAUUUCUCGGGAUUACUUGCCAAACGCGUUAGCCGAGCCCCUAUAUAAUCCCUAGCAUCGCCCCCGCGCGUGUUUCCCAUCUUCGCCGCGCAAAAUCCGUGUCCUAGCUACAGCAGCCGCCAGACGGGAUCUUGCCGCAAGCCGAGCGCCUUGCCGUGCGCCGCGAGCUCCUCCCGUCGUUCUUCGGCCCCAGCAAAGCACCUCCUCGAAUUCGCGGUGAGCUCCUCGUUCCGAUGGUGUUUUUCUUUCUUGAAACGGUGCUCGGAAACGAGAAACCCGCGAACGCCGGCGAGCUUUCGAACGGUGGCCAUGGCGCCACCGUGCUGAGCUCCGGUCGGCCGGCCAGGCUUGGCCCUGGAUGGAACACCAGCCGUUAGAUGCAAGAUCAAGGGACAGAAAUAGAAGUUACCCCUUCAGCUGCGAAACUAUAUAAAGAGUCCUUGAACUUUUUCAUAUUUGCUCCGCAGUCCUUGGCGCCCUGAGACGAUUCCGUUACUCAACUCCGAAAGCGUAUUUCGUGAAUUGCCAUUGGAUUUAGUUUGCUCAUAAAAUACUCAUUUUAACUCCGUUUUUGUCCAUUCAAAUUCCGUUGGAUUCGUAUUUACGAUCUCUACAUGUUAGAAAUAUUAGUUUACUGUUUUGAAACAUUUUAAUUCUGCAGUAGCAUUUAAUUAAUUAUUACUCUAUAGGAAAUCUUAGAAAAUUCAUAUCUUACUCGUUUUAAUUCCGAUUUUCGUGAACUUUACGUUUGUGUGAUCGUAGCGCUGCGUAGAAUAUUAUCAUAAACUUUUAUAUUUGUUUUACCACUGUUUGGUGUAUUGUUCUAAUUAUACCUUGUUUGCUUCGUGUAUGAUUGUCUACAUUGGAUUGCGUGUUGUUGAUUGAUGAUUGGGAUUAGACGGUGAGCCGUACGUUGGUGAUCAAGACCAAGCUUUUGAAGACCAGCGGGCUCAGGAGAGCUUUGGUCAAGGCAAGUAUAACUUGGGACCAUCCUUGUUACCUAUUCACUUAUAACUACAUAUAUAUAUCAUAUGCAUGCUAUCACCUUGUCGACCUUAGCAAAAUCAUAGAUGAUUGUUACCUGUAUUCCUUGCUACCUACUUGAUAUGCAUUUGGUAUAGAUGUGCUAGUGCUUGAUAUAAUCCAUGAUCUUGUAAGAUGAUUAAUAGCUAUGCAAUGAACAUAAAAGAAUAACAAAUAACUAUAUGAGAUCUUGUCUGUAAGUGAUCACCGGGACAACAGUGCAACCAUGAGGGCUAUAAUGUCUCUGGCUUUAGCUCAGUAUGAAGCACUUUUCUAGCUGGUUAGAGGUUACCCGAAAGGGCGGAGGGGCUGAACCGUUUUGGGUAUAGUGUGGCCUCUGUCUGUAUGAGUAUAGGCUGCGAGUCAUUGUGCCAUCGGAAGGGGGGCUCUAUAUCUGCGCGCAAAGAAAACCUUGCGGCCCUAACUUGUUAGACGAACUUUUGAAAGGCUUCAUAGUGAUCCCUGCCGACCUCCCUAGGAAGGGGGUUAAGAGAUUAGCUACCUCGGGCGAAAGGGUAAAUCAUGACUCAUGGGUAAAGAUGUACAACCUCUGCAGAGUGUAAAACUGGUAUACUAGCCGUGCUCACGGUUAUGAGCGGCCUUGGGGGUUCUUGCUGCGCCGACGAUGAGCUUAUUAAGUUGUUAGGUUCAUUUGAUUAUCGUUUAUGCAAUGGAUUAAUUAUGCUUACACAUGAUCAUGGGAUUAAUGGAUUAUUUAUGCUUCCUUGACAAUUGCUAUUUAAUUAUGAACAUGCUAUCCACUAUUAAAAGCUAAAUGCAGUCAAACCAGUGUCAGCUAUUUGAGCCUCAUGAACCCCUGGUUAUACUUGUUGAGUACGAUAUGUGCUCACUCUUGCAAUUUCCCAACACCUCAGGGUAUGAUAAUGAAGAUGACUGGAAUGAGGAUUAUCGGUAUGAGUACUAGGUUUGGAGUCAACCAGUCAACAGUGUCCCUGUGUGGAGCUUCCAUCGAGAGCGUUGUUUACUUUAUGCUAUCAUUUUUGUAUGAGACUAUGUGAUUCAAUAUAUAGUCCGCUAUGUAAUAAACACUGCAAUGGUACAUUUGAGAUUUGUCUACUUAUGUGUGCGACUGUUUCUGGGGCACAUAUGAGUCUUUUAUGCAUCCUAUUUUGUUCUUAAAAUAUGGGUGUGACAGCUGCCGGAAGUACCGACUACGCCACCCAACGAAUCCUAGGACAAUUAAGAAAAUGGAGAGUCCCGUUCGGAGGACUUAAAAACACCGAACGCCUUGCCAACAUGUAAACUUGGUAGUUAUCAUUUCCCUUUCAAUUAUUUCAACUAGUUUACUUAGUUAAGCAUGCUCAUACUAUCCUAAAAAGAAAAUAAAAAUGUGAAAAAACAGUAAGCCCCAUGUGAGUAUGCAAGUGGCAUAAAACCCAUAAGUACAUUCACUGUGGUGGCAUAAAAAUAAAAUAAAAAUUUCUUUUCUACUUUAUAAAAUAAAAAUAUAAAAACAGGGAGUAAUAAUUAUUAAGGAGUCUCAACACGAUAAAGGCUAGAUAUUUAUGCUAACACUUAAUCAGUUCCACAAGCUUUGUUGUCUAUUUGAGCUCCACAGAAUCUAAGAAUCAAGAAGACUAGCAGACGGAGGACAUUCUAAUCGCUGUCAGAAUGCUGCUGACUUUCAAAUACACUUCUGCCACCUGCUAGCUACAUCAAGAGAAAUUACGUCAAAAUUCAGCUUGGGGGAGAGCACCCCCAUUUAUCUCGAUAAGUAUUUCUAUCUAUCUAUCUUUAUAUUUAUACUAUAUUAAAAUAUAAUUAUGGAAAACCAAAUAAAGAUUUUAUGCUUAUAUAUAAAUAUAUCUUUUACUUAGUGUGUUUAAUAAAUAAAUAAAGUGGCUAUGCUAAUCUGUAUCUAAAUAAAACUUAAGCAUGGAUAUGAUGAAUAGUUGGUCUGCCUAAUUUGCACAUUUUAAGUUCUCUCUCAAGUUUAGAUAUAACUGUUAUAAUUUAAAUCUUGCUCUAGACCUAAACUUGUGGGAUGAAAACUUGAUCUGAGGUCUAAGUUGUUAACGGAUACGAUAUGGGAAGGUUGAGCUACUGUUUAUCUGUUCCUAGAGAUGCUAGAAUUCUGGAGAAUUUUAUCUUUGAAAAUCUUUAAAAUGUUGCAUGAUGAGUUCCUGUAUGAUGAGAGUUUAAAUUCCUACCACAGCCAUAUAUACAUGCUUGCUAGACUUUGAGCCACACAUUUACUAUUUACUGCUUAUGAGCAUUGAGUGUGGUCAAGCUGUGUAGACCCUUAGGAGCUUGUCAUGUGGUUAAAUCAAGAUUUCACUUGCACGUUCACUCAUAUAUGCUACUUCUACUCCGGAAGUACCAUCCACAUAUAUCCAUCCAUUUCCAUCUCUAGAAUCACCCAAAAAUAUUCUACUCCUAAUCCGGGAGGGAAUAACCAAAAAUAUUUCUGUUUUCCCCUAUGAAAUAAAUGCUCAAGUUAUCUUUUUACUACCACUUGCUAUAUUAUCUCAAGAGAUGAGUGCUCUAAAAAAAGAUAAAAAAAAGAGAAAAAAAUAAUAUAUACGAGGAAAUAAAAAGGAGCAAGUGCUCGGAACCUCGAAAGAAAAGAAAAAGUGAGACGAGAGGUAAAAAUGGACAAGUGUCCGACAGUAGAAUUAGGGGUACAAGAUACCCACCUGAGAGAAAAGAAAAAUAAAGAGCAUCUCAUUCUCCUCAAAAUAUUUCAAAAAGCAAGAAAGGUAUGUAUCACCUCAAAAGAGCAGUAGUAGAAUUAGACUUCCACCACCAUUGUUUCCAUCAUUGUUAUCACCAUCAUCACCAUACACCAUUCAUUCGCCACACAUGCACAUCUUGAUUUGACUUAUUGAUUUGUUUCUUUGGAUCCAUGGUUUGACUAUACAAUAAAUGUCUUGUAAGUAUGUAUACUUUAUCUCCCACCUAUGAGCUCUAGAUAUUAAAGCCUUAUUAGAGUAGGGUGAGAGAGAAGACAAUGUCACUAUGCUUUACACCACAAAUACUACAUAUAUUGAGAGAAGGCAUAUACCAUCACUGCCUUGGUAAGGAUCCAGAAAUACCACAAAAGAGAGAUCUGAGAGAAUCAUACAAGGAAUCUCUGAGUUUUAUUUGAAAAUCUGCAAAAACCCCAGAGCUAUAGCUGAUCAAGAAUAAGAGACAUGACACUUGGCUAGACUGUUCUAUCUUUUAACCUCUCAAGACAGAAGUGACGGUUACAAGUCCCAUAGUGAAGGUAAAGUAAGUAAGUUUUAAGUCUUGACAGUUUACUCUAAUCAGAGAUGAGAUCUUAUUUAAAAAGCAUGUGUACCGUCAAUUUUGAAAGAUAUUGCAACAACUUAUGAUCCAUAGCUGAGUCUAUCCUUGCUCAGGGACGAGCAAGAGGUAAGCUUGGGGGAGUUUAUUGACGGUCCUUAAGUAUCAAAUUUAAUUAUCAAAUAAAUAAAGAAAAGGAUCCAAAUGAAAUCAACAUCUAGACUUAGGGUUUUAUCUGACAGAAUUCCACGAGUUUUGGUGUUUGUCUAUUUCUGCAGGGGGUUAUCAGGAAAUAAGGAAGAAAGGCCCUUCGGGAUUACAUAGAGAUAUUAACGUGCUGCACAAUUAUCU
Molecule: long non-coding RNA, 32289 nt
Filed under: Sorghum bicolor (sorghum)
Lineage: Eukaryota; Viridiplantae; Streptophyta; Magnoliopsida; Poales; Poaceae
Description: long non-coding RNA (SBIC_LNC008157)
Source: RNAcentral